GGAGGGGUCCGACGCCACUCAGCUGGCCACCGACCUAUGAUCGGUCGACUCCUCUGAUCGUCGUACAGCCGCCAGAGCUUGUCGGUUCUGACAGCCGCAUGCGGCACUGCCGUCUAGGGGCAUUAUCCCACCUAGGGCAUUGUCAACCCUAGCGAUUGGACAGCCCCACGGCGACAUGACACUUUCACGGCGACUCUGACAGUCUACAGUGAGUUGACAAUUCCUCACUUGUCUGUGCCAUUAAUGACGGCGCCAUACCGUGCUCCACUAUAUAAAUCGGGGAAGGCAACAGUGCAAGGGAUCCGCUC
Molecule: long non-coding RNA, 308 nt
Filed under: Elaeis guineensis (African oil palm)
Lineage: Eukaryota; Viridiplantae; Streptophyta; Magnoliopsida; Arecales; Arecaceae
Description: long non-coding RNA (EGUI_LNC073909)
Source: RNAcentral